Molecule: ribosomal RNA, 433 nt
Filed under: uncultured bacterium
Lineage: Bacteria
Description: partial 16S ribosomal RNA
Rfam family: Bacterial small subunit ribosomal RNA
Source: RNAcentral
AACGAACGCUGGCGGCAUGCCUAACACAUGCAAGUCGAACGAGACCUUCGGGUCUAGUGGCGCACGGGUGCGUACCGCGUGGGAACCUGCCCUUAGGUUCGGUAUAACUCCCCGAAAGGGGUGCUAAUACCGGAUAAUGUCUUCGGACCAAAGAUUUAUCGCCUUUGGAUGGGCCCGCGUUGGAUUAGCUAGUUGGUAGGGUAAAAGCCUACCAAGGCGACGAUCCAUAGCUGGUCUGAGAGGAUGAUCAGCCACACUGGGACUGAGACACGGCCCAGACUCCUACGGGAGGCAGCAGUGGGGAAUAUUGGACAAUGGGCGAAAGCCUGAUCCAGCAAUGCCGCGUGAGUGAUGAAGGCCUUAGGGUUGUAAAGCUCUUUUACCCGGGAUGAUAAUGACAGUACCGGGAGAAUAAGCUCCGGCUAACUCCGUG